Long non-coding RNA from Zonotrichia albicollis (white-throated sparrow), 1852 nucleotides. The record is from Ensembl. NCBI's taxonomy places the organism in Eukaryota, Metazoa, Chordata, Aves, Passeriformes, Passerellidae.
AGAAUGUGAGGAAAAAAGGAAAUAUGAAGAAAAUUGAGAGAAAUUUGAGGGGAAAAUGGUGGAGAAAGUGAGGGGGAAAAAGGCGGGAAAUGUGAGGGGGGAAAAUGGCGGAAAAUCUGAGGGGAAAAUGGAGGGAAAUGUGAGGGGAAAUGGAGGGAAAUGUGAGGGGUAAAAAAAGCAGGAAAUUUGAGGGAGAAACGGAGAGAAAUUUGAGGGGGAAAUGGCAUGAAAUGUGAGGGGAAAAUGGUGGGAAAUAUGAGGGGAAAUGUGAGGGGGAAAUGGAGGGAAAUGUGAGGGGAAAAUGGCGGAAAAUUUGAGGGGGAAAUGGUGGAAAAUGUGAGGAGAAAAGGAAAUAUGAANGGUCCUGAGGGGGUGGGGAUGGAGAUACGGGAGGAUGGAGAGGUUCUGGAGGUGGUUGGAGGUGAUUGGGUGUGGCGGUGGGGGGGUUUGGAGAAGGUUGGGGUGGUCCACCAGGAGUGGUGGUGGUCAACCAAGAGUGGUGGUGGUCAGUCAAGAGUCGUGGUGGUCCACCAGGAGUCGUGGUGGUCAACCAAGAGUCGUGGUGGUCCACCAGGAGUUGUGGUGGUCAAUCAAGAGUUGUGGAGGUCAACCAAGAGUCGUGGUGGUCAACCAGGAAUCAUGGUGGUCAACCAAGAGUCGUGAAGAUCAAUCGAGAACCAUGGUGGCCCACCAAGUGUGGUUGUGGUCAAUCAAGAGCCCUGGAGGUCAACCAAGAGUCGUGAAGAUCAAUCGAGAAUCAUGGUGGUCCACCAAGUGUGGUGGUGGUCAACCAAGGAUCAUGGUGGUCAACCAGGAGUUGGGUGGUCAACCAAGAGCCAUACGGGUCAAUCAAGAAUCAUGGCAGUCAAUCAAGAGUCGUGAAGAUCAAUCGAGAAUCAUGGUGGUCCACCAGGUGUGGUUGUGGUCAAUCAAGAGUCAUGGUGGUCAACCAGGUGUGGUGGUGGUCAACCAAGAAUCAUGGAGGUCAAGCAAGAGUCCUGGAGGUCUACCAAGAGUCAUGGUGGUCAACUUAAAAUUGUGAUGGUCAACCAAGGAUCAUGGUGGUCAACCAAGAGUCCUGGAGGUCAACCAGAAGUCCUGGAGGUCAGCCAAGAGUCAUGAUGGUCUACCAAGGAUGAUGAUCAACCAAGAGUUGUAGUCAACCAGAAGUUCUGGAGGUCAACCAGGAGUCAUGGUGGUCAACCAUAAGUCCUGGAUCUCAACCAAGAGUCAUGGGAAGAAGAUGCUGAGGCGCUCCCUGAAGCCAUGGAGAUGCCUCCACUCAACUGGGAAGACCCAAAAAAUCAUGGAAAGGUCCUGGAGAUGUUCCUGGAAGUUCUGGAGAUACCUCCAGCCAAUCAAGAGUCAUGGAGGUCGACCAAGAGUGAUGGGAAGAUGUUGGGGUGCUCCCAGAAGUUCCUGAGAUGCCUCCAGUCAACCAGAAGCUCCCAAAAAUCAUAGAAAUGAAAUUUUGGGGUUCUUUUGGAAGUUCCUGAGAUACCUCCACUCAAUUGGAAGAUGCCAUAAGUAAUGGGAAUGAAAUUUUGGGGUGUUCCUGGAAGUUCCUGAGAUGCCUCCACCCAACCAGAAUGUCCCAAAAAUCAUAGAAAUGAAAUUUUGGGGUUCUCCUGGAAGUUCCUGAGAUGCCUCCACUCAACCAGAAGCUCCCAAAAAUCAUAGAAAUGAAAUUUUGGGGUGUUCCUGGAAGUUCCUGAGAUGCCUCCACCCAACCAGAACCUCCCAAAAAUCAUAGAAAUGAAUUUUUGGGGUGUUCCUGGAAGUUCCUGAGAUGCCUCCACUCAACCAGAAUGUCCCAAAAAUCAUAGAAAUGAAAUUUUGGGGUUCUCCAAGA